GGGUUGUUCAUGAUCUUGUGUUUCCCACUGUGCCGAAUCUCCUUCAAUGUAAAACAGUAUGAUAUGUGUUGCAACCAACUCCCUGUCGCCUGUCGUCGAGAAUGAACAUCUGCAAAACAGCAUCCACACAGACUAGAUUUGUGUCCGGCGGGGACUCUCCGAUGCUUAAGUCAGAGAGGAAAGUUGGUGAACAGGAGUUGAAUGUAAACAG
RNAcentral lists this long non-coding RNA (211 nucleotides) under Elaeis guineensis (African oil palm). RNAcentral describes it as "long non-coding RNA (EGUI_LNC001548)". Lineage: Eukaryota; Viridiplantae; Streptophyta; Magnoliopsida; Arecales; Arecaceae. The record is from RNAcentral.